GAUGAACGCUGGCGGCGUGCCUAAUACAUGCAAGUCGAGCGAACGGACGCGAAGCUUGCUUUUCUGAUGAUAGCCGCGGACGGGAGAAUAACAUGUGGAUAACCUACCUUACAGACGGGGAUAACUUCGGAAAACCGGAGCAAACACCGGAUAAUCUUUUGAACCGCAUGGUUCAAAAGUGAAAGACGGUCUUGCUGUCUCUAAUAGAUGGUUCCGCGCUUCAUUAGCUAGUUGGUAAGGUAACGGCUUACCAAGGCAACGAUGCAUAGCCGACCUGAGAGGGUGAUCGGCCACACUGGAACUGAGACACGGUCCAGACUCCUACGGGAGGCAGCAGUAGGGAAUCUUCCGCAAUGGGCGAAAGCCUGACGGAGCAACGCCGCGUGAGUGAUGAAGGUCUUCGGAUCGUAAAACUCUGUUAUUAGGGAAGAACAUAUGUGUAAGUAACUGUGCACAUCUUGACGGUACCUAAUCAGAAAGCCACGGCUAACUACGUG
RNAcentral lists this ribosomal RNA (497 nucleotides) under uncultured bacterium. Its description in RNAcentral is "partial 16S ribosomal RNA". It matches the Rfam family "Bacterial small subunit ribosomal RNA", at positions 28 to 507 of the family's 1533-position model. The record is from RNAcentral.